AGUGAACGCUGGCGGUAGGCCUAACACAUGCAAGUCGAACGGCAGCACAGUAAGAGCUUGCUCUUAUGGGUGGCGAGUGGCGGACGGGUGAGGAAUAAAUCGGAAUCUACUUUUUCGUGGGGGAUAACGUAGGGAAACUUACGCUAAUACCGCAUACGACCUACGGGUGAAAGCAGGGGAUCUUCGGACCUUGCGCGAUUGAAUGAGCCGAUGUCGGAUUAGCUAGUUGGCGGGGUAAAGGCCCACCAAGGCGACGAUCCGUAGCUGGUCUGAGAGGAUGAUCAGCCACACUGGAACUGAGACACGGUCCAGACUCCUACGGGAGGCAGCAGUGGGGAAUAUUGGACAAUGGGCGCAAGCCUGAUCCAGCCAUACCGCGUGGGUGAAGAAGGCCUUCGGGUUGUAAAGCCCUUUUGUUGGGAAAGAAAAGCAGCAGGUUAAUACCCCGCUGUUCUGACGGUACCCAGAGAAUAAGCACCGGCUAACUUCGUG
Molecule: ribosomal RNA, 492 nt
Filed under: uncultured bacterium
Lineage: Bacteria
Description: partial 16S ribosomal RNA
Rfam family: Bacterial small subunit ribosomal RNA
Source: RNAcentral